UGUAACCAUGUGAGGAGAUGAUGGAGACGAGUGACUUGGUGUAUAGAGAGAAAAAGAGAGGGCCAAGAACCGAGCCCUGGGGGACACUAGUAGUGAGUGUAUGUAGUGCAGACACACAUCCUCACAUCCUCCUCUCUCAUCCUCAGGCUCUCAGUGUGCAGAGCCUGAGACGCCCAGCCCUGAGAGGGUGGAGAGGAGGAUCUGAUAGAGCCUGAGACGACCAGCCCUGAGAGGGUGGAGAGGAGGAUCUGAUAGAGUCUGAGACGCCCAGCCCUGAGAGGGUGGAGAGGAGGAUCAGAGAGAUCCAGAGAGAGAGGAGAAGGUGUUAAAGGGUUAGAGGCAGAGAGAGAAAGGAGAAGGUGUUAAAGGGUUAGAGGCAGAGAGAGAGAGGAGAAGGUGUUAAAGGGUUAGAGGCAGAGAGAGAGAGGAGAAGGUGUUAAAGGGUUAGAGGCAGAGAGAGAGAGGAGAAGGUGUUAAAGGGUUAGAGGCAGAGAGAGAGAGGAGAAGGUGUUAAAGGGUUAGAGGCAGAGAGAGAGAGGAGAAGGUGUUAAAGGGUUAGAGGCAGAGAGAGAGAGGAGAAGGUGUUAAAGGGUUAGAGGCAGAGAGAGAGGAGAAGGUGUUAAAGGGUUAGAGGCAGAGAGAGAAAGGAGAAGGUGUUAAAGGGUUAGAGGCAGAGAGAGAGAGGAGAAGGUGUUAAAGGGUUAGAGGCAGAGAGAGAGAGGAGAAGGUGUUAAAGGGUUAGAGGCAGAGAGAGAGAGGAGAAGGUGUUAAAGGGUUAGAGGCAGAGAGAGAGAGGAGAAGGUGUUAAAGGGUUAGAGGCAGAGAGAGAGAGGAGAAGGUGUUAAAGGGUUAGAGGCAGAGAGAGAGAGGAGAAGGUGUUAAAGGGUUAGAGGCAGAGAGAGAGAGGAGAAGGUGUUAAAGGGUUAGAGGCAGAGAGAGAGAGGAGAAGGUGUUAAAGGGUUAGAGGCAGAGAGAGAGAGGAGAAGGAGAGAUGGGAGAGAAAAGGAAACAAAAUAGUGAUCAUAGACCUGGGAGGCGCUCCAGUGAGAUUAGUAGAACAGCCUCUAGUAAAGAUGUCAAGUGACUCGCCUGCUUUGUCAGUGGGAGGGGACUGUGAAAGUGGGACUGUGGAAGUGAGAGGGGACUGUGAAAGUGAGAGGGGACUGUGGAAGUGAGAGGGGACUGUGGAAGUGAGAGGGGACUGUGGAAGUGAGAGGGGACUGUGGAAGUGAGAGGGGACUGUGGAAGUGAGAGGGGACUGUGGAAGUGAGAGGGGACUGUGGAAGUGAGAGGGGACUGUGAAAGUGGGAGGGGACUAUGAAAGUGGGAGGGGAUUGUGAAAGGGUGAGGUUAAAAGAGGCAAGGAAGGGAACGAGAGAGUUUGAAAGAAAUGAAUCGAAGACAGACAUCGGGAGGUUGAAGUUGCCAAGUAUGAAGAGCGGUGAGCCAUCGUCAGGAAAUUAGCUCAUUCAAGGUGUCAAACUCAUUGAGGAACUCUUCAAAGGCACCUGGUGGAUGAUAGAUUACAACAAUGUCAUGCUUGAUUGGACAAGUGACAGUGACAGCAUGGAAUUCAAAUGAGGAGCUGGACAGGUGAGAGAAAUUAAAAUCUCCAGUUUGGAGAAAUGAGUAGGGCUGUGCUGCAGCCGUGACGACCAGAUGCUCUCAGACGAUGAGAGAAAACGUAGUCCGAUGUAGAGAGAGCAGCUAGAGUAGCAGUGUUCUCUGAGGUGAUCCAUGUCUCCGUCAGGGACAAAAAGUCAAAGGGCUGAAUGGCAGAAUAGGCUGAGAGGAACUCUUGACCGCAGAUGGGCAGCUCCAAACGCUGUCAGAGACCAGGAACUCCACAUCGGUUGUGCGCUCAGGGUAAACUCAAUUAGAAGAGUUGCAGCGUCUGUAAAGCCCACAGGAAGAGGAGAGAACAGGUAUAGAAAACACACAAAAUAACUAGGUAAGAUACUCAAGUGAGAGACUGGAGUCUUCCUCUAGUUCCUUCCUCAAACAACUCGGCAUAACCAUCCUAAUUUUGGCGACAGUCUUACUUCUGCAGACGAGACCGACACUUCUAGCUCCCGCUGAAAAACCAGGGGAGACUGAAGUACUAACACUAUUUGACAGUUGCCUAGCAGAGGUGAAGAGCACACCUCCUUGUACUAAUUGCUGAUUGCCUAGGAGAGGAGAAACCACUCCCCCUCCAAUACAGGCACCGAUUACCAAAAUGACAAGAGUCCCACGUCAACCUGCCCCUUAAUCCUGGUUGAUGUGUCAACAAUCAUCUGCAAGUUAUAAGCAGUCAGUAGUUCCCACACCAAGUAGGCUGCUGGGAAGACAGUCAGCAGUUCCCACACCAAGUAGGCUGCUGGGAAGACAGUCAGCAGUUCCCACACCAAGUAGGCUGCUGGGAAGACAGUCAGCAGUUCCCACACCAAGUAGGCUGCUGGGAAGACAGUCAGCAGUUCCCACACCAAGUAGGCUGCUGGGAAGACAGUCAGCAGUUCCCACACCAAGUAGGCUGCUGGGAAGACAGUCAGCAGUUCCCACACCAAGUAGGCUGCUGGGAAGACAGUCAGUAGUUCCCACACCAAGUAGGCUGCUGGGAAGACAGUCAGCAGUUCCCACACCAAGUAGGCUGCUGGGAAGACAGUCAGCA
Molecule: long non-coding RNA, 2650 nt
Organism: Oncorhynchus keta (chum salmon)
Lineage: Eukaryota; Metazoa; Chordata; Actinopteri; Salmoniformes; Salmonidae
Exons: 6
Source: RefSeq, a predicted model, not a curated record